AGUGAACGCUGGCGGUAGGCCUAACACAUGCAAGUCGAACGGCAGCACAGUAAGAGCUUGCUCUUACGGGUGGCGAGUGGCGGACGGGUGAGGAAUACAUCGGAAUCUACUUUUUCGUGGGGGAUAACGUAGGGAAACUUACGCUAAUACCGCAUACGACCUACGGGUGAAAGCAGGGGAUCUUCGGACCUUGCGCGAUUGAAUGAGCCGAUGUCGGAUUAGCUAGUUGGCGGGGUAAAGGCCCACCAAGGCGACGAUCCGUAGCUGGUCUGAGAGGAUGAUCGCCCACACUGGAACUGAGACACGGCCCAGACUCCUACGGGAGGCAGCAGUGGGGAAUAUUGGACAAGGGGCGCAAGCCUGAUCCAGCCAUACCGCGGGGGUGAAGAAGGCCUUCGGGUUGUAAAGCCCUUUUGUUGGGAAAGAAAAGCAGCAGGUUAAUACCCCGCUGUUCGGACGGUACCCAAAGAAUAAGCACCGGCUAACUUCGU
Molecule: ribosomal RNA, 491 nt
Filed under: uncultured bacterium
Lineage: Bacteria
Description: partial 16S ribosomal RNA
Rfam family: Bacterial small subunit ribosomal RNA
Source: RNAcentral